RNAcentral lists this long non-coding RNA (1914 nucleotides) under Gallus gallus (chicken). Lineage: Eukaryota; Metazoa; Chordata; Aves; Galliformes; Phasianidae. The record is from RNAcentral.
CUUUCUGCAAGCUUGCUUUCUUCUCCCUUGAAGUCAGCUAAAUUGUGUCGGCACUCCAUGGCUGCGGGCUGAGCCGGCCCGGGGCUGAUGACAUGAUGCAGGAACAGCCCUGGAACAGCACUGGUGUAGAUUGACCUCAGUUGACCUGGAAAUGCCAAUCCAUCAGAGAAAAUAGUGCGUGCCUCUGACAGCAAAUAACGGUAUUUUCUUCCGAGAGCUGAUGCAACCAUGCCAGAGCCUUGCACGAGGAAAUGAGGAACUGUGGGUGUGCUUUUCAUGGGCCACGAGAGGAGGUGAAGCAACCUGCUUUGAAGAGUGGAAAGGAGCGCUUUGCCUAGUUUGGAAGACUGGUGACAUGAAAGGUAGAUACUUCUGGGCUGUCAGAGGAAGGAAGCUCAGUUAUUUCAGAGCGUGCGCCCUCAGUGAACUGCUGUACAAACAACCCAUCUGGAGCUUGAUCCUGGAUUGAACCUGCUCUGUAACCCAAGGAAACUAAAAGGCUUUUUUGGAUGCCCUUGGAAAUUUCCUGAGCUUGACACACCUCUUCACAACACAACAGGUUUCGCAGAUCUGUUAUCACAGAUGUUCUUAACCUAAAUAUAUGGAUAUCCAAAAAUAGGUACUGUUUAAAAUAUGUAUAAACUUCCUUUAUUUAUGUCUAACACUGAUUGCAUUUUGCUACCAGGUUUCAAGCAUCUGUAAGUGGUAACUGCAGACCUUCCUGUACACCCCUGCUGCUCUGCCAUGACUUCCAGGGCGGCAGGAUAGCUGAGGCCUGCUUUUUGUUCCACAUGUAAAUGUUUUGUAAAGACAGGUGGUGAUUGUAUUUGGAAGGAUUUCCCAUUUUAAGCUGGGUUUAUUCUGAUACUGUCCACAAUGAAUUUACAUUGGCUGCGACAUGACCUUCAUAAAGGUAGUAUCUAGCCUAAGGCUUUACAGGUGAAGAGUUACUAGUCAGGAGAAAUGGUCUGCAAACACAGAACUUUGCAAUAGUUUAUCCUCUUUUCCUCACCUUUAUGUGUGAUAGGAAUGACAAGGCACGACUUGGGCAGUCUGUGAAGUUCUCUGUCUAUCACGUUGUGAGUGCACACUUGAGCACUGGGCUGCUAGAACUUCAGCUGUGUAUUUCUGUGGAUGUUCCUGGUUACCCCUUCCUCCCUGCCUGUUUCUCUUUAUGUGAACUGCUGUCAUGUCUUGUGCAAGGACUCUGCAGUUGUUUUCCUGAAAUUAUGGCAGGGUUGUUGCCUGAAUAUAAUCUGUAGUCAAGGGAAUAUGGUGAAUGUCCUCAUCUAUCAGCACCACAUAUUGGUUUUGGUUUGACGACUUCUUUCUUCUUCUGUAUCUAACAUAAAAAGCAGGACUCAUCUCAUCUAACUUCAGAUGGUUGUAGGCAGGUUUCCAGUGUAAGCUAGUGGUUGAGAACUUUCAGUGUAUAGAGAGUGGUAUCUCCAGCUAGUGGCCCAAUCUGGAUAGAGGGACUUCUUCUUACUGACAUUACGUACAAUUCUAAUUAUUAACGUAGUCAGAAUUGAAACUCAGCAGAGUGGUGCAAACACACAGAUUUCAGUAGGAGUUCUGCGUUAAUUGUGCAGAUAGGACCUUCCAUCCGUAGGUCCUAUAAGAAGAUGGACAAAUAAAAGAAAAAUAAUAUUUGAUCUGGUUAGCUUAAUUCUGAGAUUUUAGUGCAGAAAGAAGAGAGGAAACUCGAGGCACUCACCAGAUCAGAUGUUACUGCCCUCAUUUGUUAACAUGCCUCCUCAAAUGGAAUUAAUGAAACCUUCCAUUAUAGAUCAAUACGCUCUUUGACUAGAGAAUAUUAUGGGUACCUAUUGUAUAUGCUUAAUUAGAUUGAAAUUGCUUUCACAUUUCCUUUAUAUCCAAAAAAAACCCUGAUCUCAGCAGUUUGAAAAAGGG